UUCGGCUGCGCAGGAGGAACGGUCCGCGUCCUAUCAGCUAGUCGGCAGGGUAAAGGCCUGCCGAGGCGACGACGGGUAUCCGGCCUGAGAGGGUGGACGGACACAUUGGGACUGAGAUACGGCCCAGACUCCUACGGGAGGCAGCAGCUAAGAAUAUUCCGCAAUGGACGAAAGUCUGACGGAGCGACGCCGCGUGGACGAUGAAGGCCGGAAGGUUGUAAAGUCCUUUUACCGUGAAGAAGAAGCGUAAGAGGAAAUGCUUGCGUGGUGAUCGUAGCGGAUGAAUAGCACCGGCUAAU
This 299-nucleotide ribosomal RNA is filed under the name Treponema sp. oral taxon 265. RNAcentral describes it as "partial 16S ribosomal RNA". It matches the Rfam family "Bacterial small subunit ribosomal RNA", at positions 208 to 501 of the family's 1533-position model. Lineage: Bacteria; Pseudomonadati; Spirochaetota; Spirochaetia; Treponematales; Treponemataceae. The record is from RNAcentral.